GCGCCGUUAGCUCAAUUGGCAGAGCAGCUGGCUCUUAACCAGCGGGUUGGGGGUUCGAUUCCCUCACGGCGCA
This is a non-coding RNA of Actinomyces sp. HMSC065F12, 73 nucleotides long. The record is from Rfam. Lineage: Bacteria; Bacillati; Actinomycetota; Actinomycetes; Actinomycetales; Actinomycetaceae.